UGCAAACUGCGAAUACCGGAGAAUGUUAUCACGGGAGACACACGGCGGGUGCUAACGUCCGUCGUGAAGAGGGAAACAACCCAGACCGCCAGCUAAGGUCCCAAAGUCAUGGUUAAGUGGGAAACGAUGUGGGAAGGCCCAGACAGCCAGGAUGUUGGCUUAGAAGCAGCCAUCAUUUAAAGAAAGCGUAAUAGCUCACUGGUCGAGUCGGCCUGCGCGGAAGAUGUAACGGGGCUAAACCAUGCACCGAAGCUGCGGCAGCGACACUAUGUGUUGUUGGGUAGGGGAGCGU
RNAcentral lists this ribosomal RNA (292 nucleotides) under Escherichia coli. RNAcentral's name for it is "partial 23S ribosomal RNA". It matches the Rfam family "Bacterial large subunit ribosomal RNA", at positions 948 to 1239 of the family's 2925-position model. The record is from RNAcentral. Lineage: Bacteria; Pseudomonadati; Pseudomonadota; Gammaproteobacteria; Enterobacterales; Enterobacteriaceae.